GUCUUUUUGAGAAUAAUUUAAAGUUUAAUCUGCCCAAUGAGGGUUUCAAUGGCCGCGGUAUUUUGACCGUGCGAAGGUAGCAUAAUAAUUAGCUUCUUAAUUAGGAGCUAGUAUGAAUGAUUGGACGAGGAAACUGCUGUCUCAAUUUAAUUUUAUUAGAAUUUUAUUUUUAAGUUAAAAAGCUUAAAUGGGUAUAAAAGACGAGAAGACCCUAUAGAGUUUAAUAUUUAAUUGUUUAUUGAUUUUGAGGUAUUUGGGAAUUUUUAAUAGAUUAGGUAUUUAAUUGGGGUGAUUAGAAAAUUUAAUUAACUUUUCUUUUUUUAUUACAUUGAUUAGUGAUUUUUUGAUCCAUUAUUAUGAUUAUAAGACUAAAUUACCUUAGGGAUAACAGCGUUAUUACUCAUAAGAGUUCUUAUCGAAUGAGUAGUUUGCGACCUCGAUGUUGGAUUAAAAUUUAUUUUCGGCGCAGAAGUUGGGAAAUUUAGGUCUGUUCGACCUUUGGAAUUUUACA
RNAcentral lists this ribosomal RNA (511 nucleotides) under Martinezostes fortecostatus. Its description in RNAcentral is "partial 16S ribosomal RNA". It matches the Rfam family "Bacterial large subunit ribosomal RNA", at positions 1825 to 2600 of the family's 2925-position model. Lineage: Eukaryota; Metazoa; Arthropoda; Insecta; Coleoptera; Hybosoridae. The record is from RNAcentral.